Molecule: ribosomal RNA, 460 nt
Filed under: uncultured bacterium
Lineage: Bacteria
Description: partial 16S ribosomal RNA
Rfam family: Bacterial small subunit ribosomal RNA
Source: RNAcentral
CCUACGGGAGGCAGCAGUGGGGAAUAUUGGUCAAUGGACGAGAGUCUGAACCAGCAACGUCGCGUGAAGGAUGACUGCCCUAUGGGUGUUAAACUUCUUUUAUAGGGAAGUAAAAUGUUCCACGUGUGGGCUUUUGUAUGUACCAUAUGAAUAUGGAUCGACUAACUCCAUGCCAGCAGCCGCGGUAAUACGAAGGGUCCGAGGGUUGUCCGGAUUUAUUGGGUUUAAAGGGAACGUAGGUGGUUUGUUAAGUCAGUUGUGAAGGCUUGCGGCUCAACCGUAAAAUUGCAUUUGAAACUGGUAGUCUGGAGUACAGUAGAGGUGGGCGGAAUUCGUGGUGUAGCGGUGAAAUGCGUAGAUAUUAGGAAGAACUCCGAUGGCGAAGGCAGUUCACUGGACUGCAACUGACACUGAGGCUCGAAAGUGUGGGUAUCAAACAGGAUUAGAUACCCUUGUAGUC